CUGUUGCCUCUUCCUUGAGUC
RNAcentral lists this transfer RNA (21 nucleotides) under Arctocephalus forsteri (New Zealand fur seal). RNAcentral describes it as "tRNA-Pro". The record is from RNAcentral. Lineage: Eukaryota; Metazoa; Chordata; Mammalia; Carnivora; Otariidae.